UACGGAGGGUGCGAGCGUUGUCCGGAAUCACUGGGCGUAAAGGGCGCGUAGGCGGUGGGGUAAGCGUGUGGUGAAAGUCCGGGGCUCAACCCCGGAUCGGCCGUGCGAACUGCUUCACUUGAGCACUGUAGAGGCAGGUGGAAUUCCGGGUGUAGCGGUGGAAUGCGUAGAGAUCCGGAAGAACACCGGUGGCGAAGGCGGCCUGCUGGGCAGUGGCUGACGCUGAGGCGCGACAGCGUGGGGAGCAAAC
RNAcentral lists this ribosomal RNA (250 nucleotides) under uncultured bacterium. Its description in RNAcentral is "partial 16S ribosomal RNA". It matches the Rfam family "Bacterial small subunit ribosomal RNA", at positions 524 to 773 of the family's 1533-position model. RNAcentral also lists the same sequence under 1 other name. The record is from RNAcentral.